RNAcentral lists this ribosomal RNA (207 nucleotides) under uncultured bacterium. Its description in RNAcentral is "partial 16S ribosomal RNA". It matches the Rfam family "Bacterial small subunit ribosomal RNA", at positions 568 to 774 of the family's 1533-position model. The record is from RNAcentral.
CACGUAGGCGGCUUCUUAAGUCGGAUGUGAAAGCCCCGGGCUUAACCUGGGAAUUGCAUCCGAUACUGGGUAGCUAGAGUAAGGGAGAGGGAAGCGGAAUUUCCGGUGUAGCGGUGAAAUGCGUAGAUAUCGGAAGGAACACCAGUGGCGAAGGCGGCUUCCUGGCCCAUUACUGACGCUGAGGUGCGAAAGCGUGGGGAGCAAACA